CCAGACUCCUACGGGAGGCAGCAGUGGGGAAUAUUGCACAAUGGGGGAAACCCUGAUGCAGCAACGCCGCGUGAGUGAAGAAGUAUUUCGGUAUGUAAAGCUCUAUCAGCAGGGAAGAGAAUGACGGUACCUGACUAAGAAGCCCCGGCUAACUACGUGCCAGCAGCCGCGGUAAUACGUAGGGGGCGAGCGUUAUCCGGAUUUACUGGGUGUAAAGGGAGCGUAGACGGCCAUGCAAGCCUGGAGUGAAAGCCCGGGGCCCAACCCCGGGACUGCUCUGGGAACUGUGCGGCUGGAGUGCGGGAGGGGCAGGCGGAAUUCCUGGUGUAGCGGUGAAAUGCGUAGAUAUCAGGAGGAACACCGGCGGCGAAGGCGGCCUGCUGGACCGCGACUGACGUUGAGGCUCGAAAGCGUGGGGAGCAAACAGGAUUAGAUACCCCCGUAGUC
This 447-nucleotide ribosomal RNA is filed under the name uncultured bacterium. Its description in RNAcentral is "bacterial SSU rRNA". It matches the Rfam family "Bacterial small subunit ribosomal RNA", at positions 331 to 795 of the family's 1533-position model. The record is from RNAcentral.